CCUACGGGGGGCAGCAGUGGGGAAUAUUGGACAAUGGGGGAAACCCUGAUCCAGCGACGCCGCGUGAGUGAAGAAGUAUUUCGGUACGUAAAGCUCUAUCAGCAGGGAAGAUAAUGACGGUACCUGACUAAGAAGCCCCGGCUAACUACGUGCCAGCAGCCGCGGUAAUACGUAGGGGGCAAGCGUUAUCCGGAUUUACUGGGUGUAAAGGGUGCGUAGGUGGCAGGGCAAGUCAGAUGUGAAAGCCCGGGGCCCAACCCCGGUACUGCAUUUGAAACUGUCCGGCUGGAGUGCAGGAGAGGUAAGCGGAAUUCCUAGUGUAGCGGUGAAAUGCGUAGAUAUUAGGAGGAACACCAGUGGCGAAGGCGGCUUACUGGACUGUAACUGACACUGAGGCACGAAAGCGUGGGGAGCAAACAGGAUUAGAUACCGAGUAGUC
This 439-nucleotide ribosomal RNA is filed under the name uncultured bacterium. RNAcentral's name for it is "partial 16S ribosomal RNA". It matches the Rfam family "Bacterial small subunit ribosomal RNA", at positions 338 to 795 of the family's 1533-position model. The record is from RNAcentral.